ACGCUGGCGGCGUGCUUACACAUGCAGUCGAACGGGAUCCAGGCUUCGGCCUGGUGAGAGUGGCGAACGGGUGAGUAACGCGUAGGCAAUCUGCCCUUCGGUGGGGGAUAGCCCCGGGAAACCGGGAUUAAUACCGCAUGACGCGCCGGGAUCGCAUGGUUCUGGCGUUAAAGAUUCAUUGCCGGAGGAUGAGCCUGCGUUGCAUUAGCUAGUUGGUGGGGUAACGGCUCACCAAGGCGACGAUGCAUAGCUGGUCUGAGAGGAUGAUCAGCCACACUGGGACUGAGAUACGGCCCAGACUCCUACGGGAGGCAGCAGUGAGGAAUAUUGGACAAUGGGCGAAAGCCUGAUCCAGCAACGCCGCGUGAACGAUGACGCUGCUCUGCAGUGUAAAGUUCUGUAAGGAGGGACGAAUACCUGGGUAUGGCCCAGGGGGGACGGUACCUCUUAAGUAAGCACCGGCUAACUCCGUGCCAGCAGCCGCGGUAAUACGGGGGGUGCAAGCGUUGUCCGGAUUUAUUGGGCGUAAAGGGCUCGUAGGCGGGAUGGUAAGUCUGGCGUGAAUCUCCCGGCUCAACCGGGAAGCUGCGCUGGAAACUGCCGUUCUUGAGUUGCGGAGAGGAAGUUGGAAUUCCUGGUGUAGCGGUGGAAUGCGUAGAUAUCAGGAAGAACACCAAUAGCGAAGGCAAACUUCUGGCCGCUGACUGACGCUGAGGAGCGACUGCGUGGGGAGCAAACAGGAUUAGGUACCCUGGUAGUCCACGCCCUAAACGAUGUCGACUGGGUGUUGGGAGAGAGAUCUCUUGGUACCGUAGCUAACGCGUGAAGUCGACCGCCUGGGGAGUACGGCCGCAAGGUUAAAGCUCAAAGGAAUUGACGGGGACCCGCACAAGCGGUGGAUGAUGUGGAUUAAUUCGAUGCAACGCGAACAACCUUACCUACCCUUGACAUGUCCGGAACCCUGCUGAGAGGUGGGGGUGCCCGAAAGGGAAUCGGAACACAGGUGCUGCAUGGCUGUCGUCAGCUCGUGUCGUGAGAUGUUGGGUUAAGUCCCGCAACGAGCGCAACCCUUGUCCCUAGUUGCUACGCAAGGGCACUCUAGGGAGACUGCCGGUGACAAACCGGAGGAAGGUGAGGAUGACGUCAAGUCCUCAUGGCCCUUAUGGGUAGGGCUUCACACGUCAUACAAUGGACGGUACAGAGGGUUGCCAACCCGCGAGGGGGAGCCAAUCCCAGAAAGCCGUUCGUAGUCCGGAUCGCAGUCUGCAACUCGACUGCGUGAAGUCGGAAUCGCUAGUAAUCGCGGAUCAGCAUGCCGCGGUGAAUACGUUCCCGGGUCUUGUACACACCGCCCGUCACACCAUGGGAGUGGUUCUACCAGAAGUAGUAGGCUAACCGCAAGGAGCCGCUACCACGUA
This 1418-nucleotide ribosomal RNA is filed under the name uncultured Gammaproteobacteria bacterium. RNAcentral's name for it is "partial 16S ribosomal RNA". It matches the Rfam family "Bacterial small subunit ribosomal RNA". Lineage: Bacteria; Pseudomonadati; Pseudomonadota; Gammaproteobacteria. The record is from RNAcentral.